This 409-nucleotide ribosomal RNA is filed under the name uncultured bacterium. Its description in RNAcentral is "bacterial SSU rRNA". It matches the Rfam family "Bacterial small subunit ribosomal RNA", at positions 355 to 776 of the family's 1533-position model. The record is from RNAcentral.
UGGGGAAUAUUGCACAAUGGGCGAAAGCCUGAUGCAGCGACGCCGCGUGAGGGAUGACGGCCUUCGGGUUGUAAACCUCUUUCAGCAGGGAAGAAGCGCAAGUGACGGUACCUGCAGAAGAAGCACCGGCUAACUACGUGCCAGCAGCCGCGGUAAUACGUAGGGUGCGAGCGUUGUCCGGAAUUAUUGGGCGUAAAGAGCUCGUAGGCGGCUUGUCACGUCGGAUGUGAAAGCUCGGGGCUUAACCCCGAGUCUGCAUUCGAUACGGGCUAGCUAGAGUGUGGUAGGGGAGAUCGGAAUUCCUGGUGUAGCGGUGAAAUGCGCAGAUAUCAGGAGGAACACCGGUGGCGAAGGCGGAUCUCUGGGCCAUUACUGACGCUGAGGAGCGAAAGCGUGGGGAGCGAACAGG